RNAcentral lists this ribosomal RNA (263 nucleotides) under uncultured archaeon. Its description in RNAcentral is "partial 16S ribosomal RNA". It matches the Rfam family "Archaeal small subunit ribosomal RNA", at positions 748 to 1008 of the family's 1478-position model. The record is from RNAcentral.
UGGCCGUAAACGAUGUGGACUUGGUGUUGGAAUGGCUCCGAGCUGCUCCAGUGCCGAAGGGAAGCUGUUAAGUCCACCGCCUGGGAAGUACGGUCGCAAGACUGAAACUUAAAGGAAUUGGCGGGGAGCACCACAACGCGUGGAGCCUGCGGGUUUAAUUUGGAUUCAACGCCGGACAUCUCACCAGGGGCGGACAGCAGAAUGAUGGCCAGGUUGAUGACCUUGCUUGACAAGCUGAGAGGAGGUGCAUGGCGUGUGACUGU